Molecule: ribosomal RNA, 371 nt
Filed under: uncultured bacterium
Lineage: Bacteria
Description: bacterial SSU rRNA
Rfam family: Bacterial small subunit ribosomal RNA
Source: RNAcentral
UACGUAGGGGGCGAGCGUUGUCCGGAAUUAUUGGGCGUAAAGGGUUCGCAGGCGGCCUUUUAAGUCAGAUGUGAAAGCCCACGGCUUAACCGUGGUAAGCAUUUGAAACUGGAAGGCUUGAGUUAAGGAGAGGAAAGUGGAAUUCCUAGUGUAGCGGUGAAAUGCGUAGAUAUUAGGAGGAAUACCAGUGGCGAAGGCGACUUUCUGGACUUAUACUGACGCUGAGGAACGAAAGCGUGGGGAGCAAACAGGAUUAGAUACCCUGGUAGUCCACGCCGUAAACGAUGAGUGCUAGGUGUUGGGGGUCAAACCUCGGUGCCGCAGCUAACGCAUUAAGCACUCCGCCUGGGGAGUACGUACGCAAGUAUGAA